UAACGUGAGCUGUUGUAUGUUUAGCGUCUUUCGCAGAGUAAAUACAGUGUUACGUUCUUGUUGUGUUAAGGGCUGUAAGUUAAUAGCAAAUCACGCGAUCGAAAAGGUAAACAAAUUAUCACGACGACAGAUAUUUAAAAUCUCCCACUCAGAAGAAAGGAUAUUGACAGACUGUAGCGGAGCAUCGGGUGCCCUGGCCUGCAGCAUUGAGACCCAAAAUACAUCUUUUGGUAUAUCUCCGUUUAUGCUCUCGACAUUUUCACAAAGCCAACCUGCAUAUGAGAUGAUGGAGACUGACCCAAACUGAGCACCAUCUCUACAUCUGGGCCACACAGAUACUACACAAACAGACACUGCACACUCUGCAAGACAAACUAAGAGGAGGGAAAGAAAACCAACACUGCAGUCAGCUGAAGAUGUGGAUGAACAACAUGCAGAGGAGGAGACACGUGAGGUUGAAGAUGGUGAGAGACACUGAUGAGGAGACACACAACAUUAAGGAGGUAGCCGAGACAAACUGAGUGUAAAUGGUGUAUGGACAGAUGUGUAGAAGUAAACCGCCUGUUGGAGGAGAACUGACAGCUGCUGUGUGAACUUGAAGAAUACAGGAUGUCUGAUGGAUUUUGUGACAAGAAUGAUGCUCAAGUACCAAACAGUAAAAAAAACACAAAAUCUUAAUAACAAGCACUGACCCUCAACAUGAUACUGGCUUGUGAAGGUGAAGAUGUCACAUUACAGCAUAGAAUUGUAACUGUCUGUUGGGCUCAACAAACCAAUGUCCAACUGUAGUGUAGAAGAGCUGUAGUUGUCAAUAAGAGUUAAAAGCUCAGGUCUAUAAAUGCAUUCUGUGCUUGAUUGAUACAUUCUUUGCAAAUUCCUUCACAUUUUUGUAGCUUUGUUUCUUUCACUGUGUGUAUGAGUGUGUUUUGCUGCUGUUUCAUCCUGUCUCAUGUAAACAAUAUGAUGCAUUACUCCAGAAAAGAAUUUUCCCUCAGUGCCUGAAUAAAAACAUCAUCUGUAUAACUGUAAAUAAAUGGAGGAUGACUUUGGAAAA
Molecule: long non-coding RNA, 1054 nt
Organism: Danio aesculapii
Lineage: Eukaryota; Metazoa; Chordata; Actinopteri; Cypriniformes; Danionidae
Exons: 2
Source: RefSeq, a predicted model, not a curated record